UACGGGGGGGGCAAGCGUUGUUCGGAAUUACUGGGCGUAAAGGGCUCGUAGGCGGCCAACUAAGUCAGACGUGAAAUCCCCAGGCUCAACCUGGGAACUGCGUCUGAUACUGGAUGGCUUGAAUCCGGGAGAGGGAUGCAGAAUUCCAGGUGUAGCGGUGAAAUGCGUAGAUAUCUGGAGGAAUACCGGUGGCGAAGGCGGCAUCCUGGACCGGCACUGACGCUGAGGCGCGAAAGCUAGGGGAGCAAACGGG
Molecule: ribosomal RNA, 253 nt
Filed under: uncultured bacterium
Lineage: Bacteria
Description: partial 16S ribosomal RNA
Rfam family: Bacterial small subunit ribosomal RNA
Source: RNAcentral